Molecule: ribosomal RNA, 403 nt
Filed under: uncultured bacterium
Lineage: Bacteria
Also listed under: 1 other name
Description: bacterial SSU rRNA
Rfam family: Bacterial small subunit ribosomal RNA
Source: RNAcentral
UCGGGAAUAUUGCGCAAUGGAGGAAACUCUGACGCAGUGACGCCGCGUAUAGGAAGAAGGUUUUCGGAUUGUAAACUAUUGUCGUUAGGGAAGAGAAAGGACAGUACCUAAGGAGGAAGCUCCGGCUAACUACGUGCCAGCAGCCGCGGUAAUACGUAGGGAGCGAGCGUUAUCCGGAUUUAUUGGGUGUAAAGGGUGCGUAGACGGGUAAUUAAGUUAGUUGUGAAAUCCCUCGGCUCAACUGAGGAACUGCAACUAAAACUGGUUAUCUUGAGUGCAGGAGAGGUAAGUGGAAUUCCUAGUGUAGCGGUGAAAUGCGUAGAUAUUAGGAGGAACACCAGUGGCGAAGGCGACUUACUGGACUGUAACUGACGUUGAGGCACGAAAGUGUGGGGAGCAAACA